This 465-nucleotide ribosomal RNA is filed under the name Vreelandella stevensii. Its description in RNAcentral is "partial 16S ribosomal RNA". It matches the Rfam family "Bacterial small subunit ribosomal RNA", at positions 338 to 795 of the family's 1533-position model. The record is from RNAcentral. Lineage: Bacteria; Pseudomonadati; Pseudomonadota; Gammaproteobacteria; Oceanospirillales; Halomonadaceae.
CCUACGGGAGGCUGCAGUGGGGAAUAUUGGACAAUGGGCGAAAGCCUGAUCCAGCCAUGCCGCGUGUGUGAAGAAGGCCUUCGGGUUGUAAAGCACUUUCAGUGGGGAAGAAAGCCUUGGGGCUAAUACCCUCGAGGAAGGACAUCACCCACAGAAGAAGCACCGGCUAACUCCGUGCCAGCAGCCGCGGUAAUACGGAGGGUGCGAGCGUUAAUCGGAAUUACUGGGCGUAAAGCGCGCGUAGGCGGUCUGAUAAGCCGGUUGUGAAAGCCCCGGGCCCAACCUGGGAACGGCAUCCGGAACUGUCAGGCUAGAGUGCAGGAGAGGAAGGUAGAAUUCCCGGUGUAGCAGUGAAAUGCGUAGAGAUCGGGAGGAAUACCAGUGGCGAAGGCGGCCUUCUGGACUGACACUGACGCUGAGGUGCGAAAGCGUGGGUAGCAAACAGGAUUAGAUACCCUAGUAGUC